This 490-nucleotide ribosomal RNA is filed under the name uncultured bacterium. RNAcentral's name for it is "partial 16S ribosomal RNA". It matches the Rfam family "Bacterial small subunit ribosomal RNA", at positions 28 to 507 of the family's 1533-position model. The record is from RNAcentral.
GAUGAACGCUAGCUACAGGCUUAACACAUGCAAGUCGCGGGGCAGCAUGGGGGUUGCUUGCAAUCCCCGAUGGCGACCGGCGCACGGGUGAGUAACGCGUAUCCAACUUGCCCUUCACCACGGGAUAACCCGGCGAAAGUCGGACUAAUACCGUAUGUUGUCCAUUGACGGCAUCCGAUUUGGACGAAAGGUUUGGCGGUGAAGGAUGGGGAUGCGUCCGAUUAGCUGGACGGCGGGGUGACGGCCCACCGUGGCGACGAUCGGUAGGGGUUCUGAGAGGAAGGUCCCCCACACUGGAACUGAGACACGGUCCAGACUCCUACGGGAGGCAGCAGUGAGGAAUAUUGGUCAAUGGGCGUAAGCCUGAACCAGCCAAGUAGCGUGCAGGAUGACGGCCCUAUGGGCUGUAAACUGCUUUUAUGCGGGGAUAAAGUGGCCCACGUGUGGGUUUUUGCAGGUACCGCAUGAAUAAGGACCGGCUAAUUCCGUG